Asparagus officinalis (garden asparagus) is the source of this 505-nucleotide long non-coding RNA. RefSeq lists it as uncharacterized. The transcript is spliced from 2 exons. NCBI's taxonomy places the organism in Eukaryota, Viridiplantae, Streptophyta, Magnoliopsida, Asparagales, Asparagaceae. The record is from RefSeq and is a predicted model, not a curated record.
CAAAAGGCAAGCCUGAGCAAGAGCAAGCCUAGUGUUCUCUGCGCUGAGCUCAAGCAUCGGGCGGUUCCUCCUUCCUCGUCUGUGACCAGGCCGACGAUUCUGCUGGCGCUGGAGGCUUGGUCCUCCGCCUGGAGACCGACGACGUGGCGCAGCGCUGGAGCUGCGAUCACAUCGGAGAUCGCCGAGGAUGAGGACGGAUGCUGCGGUGGAGUUGUUGGCAAGGUGAAGGAUCCCUUCGGCGUCGUUUGGAUCAUUUCCUCCCUCGGCAAGAAGAGGUGCGCCGAGCCUGAACCCGCUGCUUAAAAACACCCCUUCAAAGAUUCCUGGUGUUUUUCGUUUGGGAUGGACUACUAAUUCUGGAUGUUUAGUUAGUUAGUUAAGUACGGAUAAUUUCAAGAUUGAUGUUGCCUUUUUGUUGGAAACCUUUGACUGUGGUGGUCUUCACUUUUGACGGGUGGUGAUGAUGAUCCAAAUCGUAUUAUCUUAUCUUAAUCUUUUGCUUAUC